GUGUUUGGUUAAUGAUUUAUUCACUCAUUAGUCAUUCCACAAACUUGUCUUGAGCACCUGUUAUGUACCCAGCACUGUGCUGGAAUGCUGAGGAGACAGGAGUGAAGUAAAAAGACAUGGUUCCGGCAGGAAACAGGCAAGGAGAGCCUUGACUUGACGGAGUCUGGCUAUAUCGCCAGGCUGGAAUGCAAUGGCGCGAUCUCUCCUCACUGCAACCUCCGCCUCCCGGGUUCAAGCGAUUCUCCUGCCUCAGCACCUCGAGUAGCUGGGACUACAGGCGCGCGCCACCACGCCCAGAUGAGAAAACUGAGGCACAGAGAGGUGAAAUAAGGCCCCCAGAAUGCUCUUCUCCAAGACUUAGAAAAAUCAAAUGCUAUCCAUCCCUCAAGAUACAUCCCUCCAGCCCCUCCUUGAAGUCUCCUGCAGCUAGAAGUAGAAGUAGCAUCUAUCCCCAUCUGGACUCCUUAGCACUUUGCUGUACCUGCCUUAGUCCCCAUCUCUUUACACACACACACACACACACACACACACACACAGAGUAUUAUAAUACUAUUACCUAUUAUAUUACAUUAUAUUAUUGUAGUUCUACAGGAACUACAAGGAAUUCUACUGUGAAUUCCUUAAGGGUGGGAUACAUUUUACAAUCAUCACUGUUUCUCUCAUUAGUUGUGGAAUCAAAAAAAUGAGUGCACGAUGAAAAAUUAUUCAAACACAUACAUGCUUUCAUUCCAAUUGAAAAUGUAAAAAUAUUACUGUUAAAACAAUAUUAAAGGACAUGUAAUACAAUUCAAAUAUUCCUACCAUGCACGAUUGUUUUCACUUCUUUGUGCCUCUUUCACCAUUUAUUUGUGUGCAUACUCAGCAUAUUUGUUUGUGUAACAGGAUGUUAAAAAUAGAAUUUGUUGCCUGUAGUUUUUGCUAAAGCUCUACUAGACUGGAACAGAACAAUAGGUGGUAAAUACUCCAUUCCUCAGUGAGAUGCUACCUACCUAUGCAGAGCUGGAAAAGAUUUUGCAACCUGAAAACCCAAUCCUUUCUGAGAUAUAAAAGAACAGAAGAGUCUGGAAGUGAUUUCUUCGGAGAAAUUCAUUUUCUUAUUCCAGAGAAGAAACUUCAAGCUCAGAAUAUUGGCUACUACCUGUGAUAAACAUUUAAAUUAUUGGAACGAGAGAGUUUUUAUAACUAAAUUUGAAAGAAGCAAUUUUUUUUAUCAAAGACCAACCCGAAGAUUCAUGACCACUACCUGUGAUUUCAUCCAUGUUGCAAGGAAAAUCCUGCCCCACUUCCCCAAUAGGAAGAGUGGUGGGGGAAUAAUAAAGUUGUUUUAUGAUGCAUCCUGUGGACUUCUACUCGACAGAAUGGUAACAUUCAACUGUAAUCAGGAUGAGCAAGCCACUUUAUUAAACUAAAAUUUUAAACUUUAAUAAAUAUAAUACAAACUGAAAAAUAAAAAUAAUUUUUCAACUCUACACAAGUAUGUUAACUGCAUAAACAGUGAGAUGUUACACAGGGCUGAGGCCUAUACUUCUUCAGUUUGUACAUUAAACGUCUCCAUGGAGGGUCAAUUGCAUCCUACCUAUUCUGACAGUUAUCAGGUAGCGAGAGAUUUGAGGAAGAGGCGCUUUUCUAAUCUGGGGUAGGAAAAGGAAUGAUACCAUGUAUCAUGAGAAGUAUUUGCACAUAGUGUGUCAAUUAAGCAAGUGCUCAGACUAUUAACAACAUUACUAUGUGAUGAAUGUUUAUACAGUGGAUUCAAAAAUAAGCUUCUUUCCAGAAAGCAGCUUAGUUUUCAUUAAUUAUUACCAGCAUCUUGGUAAUUAUUUAUUUAAUGGUUUAAAAGUUAAAGUUUCAAUCUAUAUUUGUUUUUUUAACAUCAGCCAAGGAAAUACAUGUCUGUUAUACUGCAUCUUUGGAAGUAUGCAAUAAGUGUAACUAUUGAAUCUAUAUUGAAGAGCCACAAGACACUGAAUUUAAUUGGACGAGACUAUUUUAUUUAGGAAGACAAUCAUCUCCUGUGAUCAGCUUAAGGUUUUUGUUUUGUUUUAUCUGGAACAAGCUAAGUUCAUAUUUAGAAAAUAAAGUUAGUUUUUUGGGUGCAUGAGUUUUAGAGUAAAUUAGUAAUUUAGUAAACUUUGACAUUUCCACUUUGUCUCCAAACACAUUUAAAUUCUAUCUGUCUGACUGAAGUUCUAAGGCAUUCUGUGGUUACUUAGAAAUGAUUCCUUAUAUUAAUGUUUACAAAUGCUAAAUUGUAUUUGUUAAAUACAUGUCUUAUUGCCUAAGAGUUUUCCUUUCUUAUAAGUUUAAUAUAAAUGUCUAGGAAAUAAGACUCCCAUUUAAUAGCUUAUAAAGAAUGCUGAUGUAUCAGCAGUGGCCUUGACAUUAUUGGAUACAAGUAAGAUCUACACUGAUGAUUAAAUCAAAUUGGCUAAGAUUAUUCGUUCUAAUAAAAGCACUGACUCCAUGAAGUUUUCUUGUGGCUGAAAUUAACAUUCGUGUUCCUACAAGCUCUUUAAAAUCUUAGUUACUGAAAAUUAUUCCUUUUGACCUAAUUUUUUCUUUACUUUGGAUGUAUUUGACAAGGUAGAGGUUAGGGAUUGGAGAGUAUGUAAAGAAUGAAAUAAAAUGUAGUCACUUUUAACUAUAUCCACAUAUAUCCACAG
This 2663-nucleotide long non-coding RNA is filed under the name Homo sapiens (human). RNAcentral describes it as "non-protein coding lnc-COL28A1-1:2". The record is from RNAcentral. Lineage: Eukaryota; Metazoa; Chordata; Mammalia; Primates; Hominidae.